GCGAUCAUACCAGCACUAAUGCACCGGAUCCCAUCAGAACUCCGAAGUCAAGCGUGCUUGGGCGAGAGCAGUACUAGGAUGGGUGACCCCCUGGGAAGUCCUCGUGUUGCACCU
This 114-nucleotide ribosomal RNA is filed under the name Zingiber officinale. The record is from RNAcentral. Lineage: Eukaryota; Viridiplantae; Streptophyta; Magnoliopsida; Zingiberales; Zingiberaceae.